Aotus nancymaae (Ma's night monkey) is the source of this 130-nucleotide ribosomal RNA. The record is from Ensembl. Lineage: Eukaryota; Metazoa; Chordata; Mammalia; Primates; Aotidae.
GCCUAUAACUAUACUAUCCUGAAUGUGUUUGAGUGUCUGAUCUCAUCUGGCCUUGUCAAAGCUAAGCCAGGGUUGAGCCUGGUUAUUACUGGGAUGGGAAGCUUCCUGGGAAUACUGUGUGCUGUAGGCU